Molecule: ribosomal RNA, 1161 nt
Filed under: uncultured fungus
Lineage: Eukaryota; Fungi
Description: eukaryotic LSU rRNA
Rfam family: Eukaryotic large subunit ribosomal RNA (bases 503-1161)
Source: RNAcentral
AAGUCGUAACAAGGUUUCCGUAGGUGAACCUGCGGAAGGAUCAUUAUUGAAUUUUUGAAGGGGGUUGUAGCUGAUCUUUUAGAUAUGUGCACACCUCUUGUCAUCUAUACACCCACAUGUGCACUUUUGUAGGCUUUUCAAGGCCUAUGUUUGCUCCAUACACACACAUUGUAAAAGAAUGUUAAUUGAUAAAAUUUAAUACAACUUUCAACAACGGAUCUCUUGGCUCUCGCAUCGAUGAAGAACGCAGCGAAAUGCGAUAAGUAAUGUGAAUUGCAGAAUUCAGUGAAUCAUCGAAUCUUUGAACGCACCUUGCGCUCCUUGGUAUUCCGAGGAGCAUGCCUGUUUGAGUGUCAUUAAAUUAUCAACCUCUUUUAAGAGGCUUGGAUUUGGAGUGUUGCUGGCUUUAUAUGUUGGCUCCUCUUAAAUGCAUUAGCUUGUAGGCUUUGGUUUGAUAAUAUCUAUGCCAUCGCUGUAAUGCAAAACACAACCUUUUGAAAUUUGACCUCAAAUCAGGUAGGACUACCCGCUGAACUUAAGCAUAUCAAUAAGCGGAGGAAAAGAAACUAACAAGGAUUCCCCUAGUAACUGCGAGUGAAGCGGGAAAAGCUCAAAUUUAAAAUCUGGCAGUCUUAUAGCUGUCCGAGUUGUAAUCUAGAGAAGUGCUUUCCGCGUUGGACCGUGUACAAGUCUCUUGGAACAGAGCGUCAUAGAGGGUGAGAAUCCCGUCUUUGACACGGACUACCAGUGCUUAUGUGAUGCGCUCUCAAAGAGUCGAGUUGUUUGGGAAUGCAGCUCAAAAUGGGUGGUAAAUUCCAUCUAAAGCUAAAUAUUGGCGAGAGACCGAUAGCGAACAAGUACCGUGAGGGAAAGAUGAAUAGAACUUUGGAAAGAGAGUUAAACAGUACGUGAAAUUGUUGAAAGGGAAACGCUUGAAGUCAGUCACGUUGGUCAGAAAUCAACCCUCCUGGGUGUACUUUCUGGCUUUACGGGUCAGCAUCAAUUUUGAUUGUUGGAUAAAAGUCUAUAUUUAUGCAUUUUCGGAUGUAUAGCCUUUGGUUGCAUACAACAGUUGGGAUUGAGGAACUCAGCAUGCCGCAAGGCCGGAUCACUUUGAUCACGUACAUGCUUAGGAUGCUGGCAUAAUGGCUUUAAUCGACC